CUCUCUCUCUCUCUCUCUGUCUCUCUCUCUCUCUGUGAGGGUAUGUGAACAGAGAGAACAUAUUUGACCGCUAUAACUCUCGUUUAAGAAUUAAUGAAAGUGUAGCGAAAGCUUUUUAUAUUUCCGCAGCACUGUGUUAUUUAUUUUAACAGUCUUGAAAACACACCGUGCACUCAACGAAUGAUUUUACCACGUAUUCAGAUUUUAUUCGAUAUUUGCUCGAUUAGCGCCGAUCAUGGCGGAUUUCAUCAGCAACGGAGAUCUGUUGACGCUACCUACUGUUUAAAUUAAAUUAUCGGGCGCAUCUGCCGUUUUCUCAUUAUUGCUGGAUCAAAUCGUUUUCUUCGCAAUUUCUUCUUCACAAAUUACGCAGGUCAGAUACGAAUUAAGAGCACAAUUAGUAAAUGUAAUUAACAAUAAAACAGGGAUUUGUCAAUAUGUUUCCUAUUCCCGCAGGAAGUUCUCAGUUAUUUUUCCCGCGUAUCAAAUAUUAAAUUAUCGCAAUCUAAAUUUGAUAGCACGAAAUGGGAAUUGAAAGAACGCUGACAGCCAUCCGGUUCACUAUUGUUAGGAUUCACGAGUUCUUUAAUAAAGUUGCUUCCGGGUAGUGUGACUUUCCAUUUCUCUGAAAUAAGGUGCUUCACAACCUAAGAACUUCUCGGUCUACAACCCCCCAAAGAACUUCCAUGGAAAAUGUGUUUGUAGAGAAAGGCAUAAAGCUGAAAUAUUCAUCACUAGCAAAUUCACGCUGUUGCUUGUUCUUGCCAGAACUUUACAUGUAAUAUUUUAAAAUAAUUCUCUUUCUCUCUAUCUAUCUGUUAAUUUAUAAUUCCUACUUAUCUCUCCCAAUAUAUGAAUAAUUUUCGUCCAUUUGUGUAAAUCUUAUUAUAUAAAUAUUAUAUAAUUAUAAAUUUUCUGCAAAUUAAUCUAUAUAUCUAGUGGCAUAUAGUACGAAAAUAUUAUUCUACAUAAUGGAGACAGAAAAUAGAUAGAAGCAGAGUGUAACUGCAGAAGAAAUUUCUCAAGGGAUUGAACUAAAUAUAGACCGCAAAUCAAUGCUUUUUCGUAGAAGAAACAUAAUUUAAAAAAAGAUUUAUUCACAAAUUAAGGAAAUCUAUAGCAAAUUUUACUGUUUAUUAACCAUUUUAAUAUCAUUGCGUAUAUACAUAUAGGAUUAUGUAAAUAAAAAAUGCGCAUAAAUUAAAAAGUGUACUUAUUUGAAUUUAUAACCAUUACGUAUCUAUAUGUAAUGUUUUUUGCAAAAAAAUUAAUAAAUAUUAAAUUUUAUAACAAUCACUAGUGGAAAAAGUCAUCUAUACAUUCAUAUAUACUAUACAUUGUCGUCAUAAAACUUUUUUCUUUUUAUAAACCGUAUUCUUGAUAAAAUUUUAAAAGUAAAUUUUGUAUGCAAGUCUCAAAUAUAAAAAUAUCUCUUCUGAUUUAAUUGUGUCUUGAAAUUUGAGUUUAUCUUGAGGUAUGUAUAAUUCCUUUAUUUUAGAUAGCUGUUAUUUAAAUUUAGUUUUCCAAAAUUAAAUUCUGCCCUUUAUUUUAACAAUACUACAGAAAAGUUCUUUUCUAACUAUUGCUUCAAUAUCAAAUGUACUAAUAAAUAAAUUUUUACGGAAACAGUCGACAAAUUUGUCGAACCUAACUCAUAAAUGUAGCCUGUUCGUGUGCGGCAGCGAUUGUGUGUUAAUUUUAAUGUUUAUGAUAAUUUAUGGUAAGCUUAGUGGAUAAUGAAGCAAAAACUAGGCAGUUCUCAAGCAUUAUCUCUAUUAAAUUUAAAUCAAGAAUUUAAUGCAGAUGAAUCAAUCUUAAACUAUCAAAGAACUGCGCAAGAGUAGUAUUUUAUUUGAAUAUACUGCGCAAGAAACUUCGAUAAUACGUAGAGUUAAAAACUUGACAGUUAAAAACUGAUUUGGAAACAUCUGUCUACUCAAGAACACAUCGAGGUUUCACACUACGUCGACGAUAAAAGUAUACAUUUAUUCCGUAUCGUAUGAAAGAAUACGCGCGCUCUCCUCUGAGGCACCACAUGACCAUUUUGUUUUUUGGUACAUCCACACGAAGGAUCUUUUCCCGCACAAGUUUUUUUUCCGAAUCGUCACUUAAACUAAAUAAAUAAAUAAAUAAAUAAAAGAAGAAGAAAUGUAAUCUAUGCGUCGUAGAGGUUCAAGCUGUCGCCCCGAACGUUUUCAUUUCCAGUCACCGUUCCCCAGUCGCGUUACAUUUCUUCGUAAAGGAUAAAUAUCGCAGCUGUGAUGGCAUCCCCCAUGGGAUGCGCGGCGAUGCGUGGUUACGCGUGGGAAGAAUCGGAGUGAGACGAGACAGGAGAUGGAAAGGUGGUCGUCGUCGUACGUUGGUGGUUUUCUCUCUGAUAUUCACGACCUCGCCGACACCGGGGUGUAUUAAGACGGCGUGUCGCGCAACUAGCAUAUACUCCGUAAUUCACGAUAGGCGGAAACAAACACGUGUGCCACGAGGUCGCGACCGAAGUGGUCCCGGAUAGAAAAUUGCUACGAACUUCUUGUGUAAAGCGCGAUGUAUACGCGCGACGACGUCGGAAAUGAAUUAUUCAUGCCGAGUGAAAAGUGUCGGCGAAUCGGUAUCAUCGCGUGAAAGUUGAAAUUCUGAAACACAUUCCACGUUAUGUUGUUAUCUCGCGACGACUAAACGAGGCGGUGGAGGAAAGAAGGGAUCGUGUCGACUAAGCAAUUAAUAGGGGAGAGAUUGAAAAAAGACAAAUUAUACGUAAAGGGCAAAAUUAAUAAUGCAAAAUUCCUCGUGAUACGAAAUCUCAAUGAUAAGAGAACAAUAAGGGCGAAUAUCAGUGUGUGUUGAAAAUUUACAUCAAUAUAUUACGCUGUCAAACGCGCAUGAAACUAAUUAAUAUGGAUUUUAUUAAAUCCAAUGAAGAAUACUCAGUAUAAUUAAUGUAAAAUAUAUACCUUUUUACAUUUUAACAUAUCAAUAUUAUAGUAAUUAAUCAAUACUUUUAAUUGUGUUAUAAAGAUGGAAUAUGAUAUUAUAUUAUUUACAAUUAUAAUUGUGACCGUCGGUCAUUUUUGAUAGCCAAUAACAAUUUCGAUUGUAAACUUAUAUUACGCAAUGUGGCGAGAAUGAUAGUCUUUUAACAAUUAUCUGUCUUUGAAAAUGUAACAUAAGUAACAUUAAGGGAAUGCUGGGGUCGUCUGUUUUAUAUUAUUUUUUAUAUCUAAACAGAAAUUUUACAAAAGAAAAAAAA
Molecule: long non-coding RNA, 3244 nt
Organism: Monomorium pharaonis (pharaoh ant)
Lineage: Eukaryota; Metazoa; Arthropoda; Insecta; Hymenoptera; Formicidae
Exons: 2
Source: RefSeq, a predicted model, not a curated record